Non-coding RNA from Brugia malayi, 117 nucleotides. The record is from RefSeq and is a predicted model, not a curated record. NCBI's taxonomy places the organism in Eukaryota, Metazoa, Nematoda, Chromadorea, Rhabditida, Onchocercidae.
GAAAAAAGUGAAAGAGGAGAAGGAAGAAAAAAAUUAAAAAAAAUAAGCAAGCAUGCUUGGAUCGAUUUAUUAUUUUCUUUUAUCUUUUGCCUCUCUCUCUCCCUCUCUCUCUCUCUC